UACAGAGGGUGCAAGCGUUGUUCGGAAUUAUUGGGCGUAAAGCGCACGUAGGCGGGUUGUUAAGUCAGGGGUGAAAUCCUGGAGCUCAACUCCAGAACUGCCUUUGAUACUGGGUACCUUGAGUACGGGAGAGGUGUGUGGAACUCCGAGUGUAGAGGUGAAAUGCGUAGAUAUCGAGAGGAACACCUGCGGCGAAGGCGGGUUGCUGGGCCGACACUGACGCUGAGGCGCGAAAGCCAGGGGAGCGAACGGG
This 253-nucleotide ribosomal RNA is filed under the name uncultured prokaryote. RNAcentral describes it as "partial 16S ribosomal RNA". It matches the Rfam family "Bacterial small subunit ribosomal RNA", at positions 524 to 776 of the family's 1533-position model. The record is from RNAcentral.